RNAcentral lists this long non-coding RNA (1233 nucleotides) under Callithrix jacchus (white-tufted-ear marmoset). RNAcentral describes it as "lncRNA (ENSCJAG00000076796.1)". The record is from RNAcentral. Lineage: Eukaryota; Metazoa; Chordata; Mammalia; Primates; Cebidae.
AUGUGUGUACCUGUUCGAUCGUUUGCGCGCACUGGUGGGGACGCUCAGAUGUGUGCACCUGUUCGAUCGUUUGCGCGCACUGGUGGGGACGCUCAGAUGUGUGCACCUGUUCGAUCGUUUGCGCGCACUGGUGGGGACGCUCAGGUGUGUGUACCUGUUCGAUCGUUUGCACGCACUGGUGUGGACGCUCAGAUGUGUGCACCUGUUUUACAUUUGCACGCACUGGUGUGGACACUCAGAUGUGUGUAUCUGAUUGCGCGCACUGGUGUGGACACUCAGAUGUAUGUAUCUGAUCGUUUGCGCGCACUGGUGUGGACGCUCAGAUGUGUGUACCUGUUCGAUCGUUUGCGCGCACUGGUGUGGACGCUCAGAUGUGUGUAUCUGAUCGUUUGCGCGCACUGGUGUGGACGCUCAGAUGUGUGUACCUGUUCGAUCGUUUGCGCGCACUGGUGUGGACGCUCAGAUGUGUGUACCUGUUUUACCGUUUGUGCGCACUGGUGUGGACGCUCAGAUGUGUGUACCUGUUCGAUAGUUUGCGCGCAUUGGUGUGGACGCUCAGAUGUGUGUACCUGUUUGACCGUUUGCGCGCACUGGUGUGGACGCUCAGAUGUGUGUACCCGUUUUACCGUUUGCGCGCACUGGUGUGGACGCUCAGAUGUGUGUACCUUUUCGAUAGUUUGCACGCACUGGUGUGGACGCUCAGAUGUGUGUACCUUUUCGAUAGUUUGCACGCACUGGUGUGGACGCUCAGAUGUGUGUACCUGUUUUACCGUUUGCGCGCACUGGUGGGGACGCUCAGAUGUGUGUACCUGUUUGACCGUUUGCGCGCACUGGUGGGGACGCUCAGAUGUGUGUACCUGUUUGACCGUUUGCGCGCACUGGUGUGGACGCUCAGAUGUGUGUACCUGUUUGACCGUUUGCGCGCACUGGUGGGGACGCUCAGAUGUGUGUACCUGUUUGACUGUUUGCGCGCACUGGUGUGGACGCUCAGAUGUGUGUACCUGUUUUACCGUUUGCGCGCACUGGUGUGGACACUCAGAUGUGUGUACCUAUUUGAUCGUUUGCACGCACUGGUGGGGACACUCAGAUAUGUGUAUCUGUUUGAUCGUUUGCGCGCACUGGUGUGGGCACUCAGAUAGCUACUUUCAUCUUGUGGUUGUUACCCAUUCUACAGUAUUUUGUAUUUUGUUUAUACCUAUGGCCACAGGGAGCUCUCUCCACUGGCUCCUUUGA